GCCGGGUGUGAUGGCAUGCACCUGUAAUCCCAGCUACUUGGGAGGCUGAGGCAGGAGAAUCACUUGAACCUGGGAGGUGGAGGUUGCAGUGAGCCAAGAUUGCACUGCUGCACUCCAGCCUGGGUGACAGAGUGAGACUCUGCCUCAA
Molecule: small RNA, 148 nt
Filed under: Macaca fascicularis (crab-eating macaque)
Lineage: Eukaryota; Metazoa; Chordata; Mammalia; Primates; Cercopithecidae
Description: Metazoan signal recognition particle RNA (ENSMFAG00000059731.1)
Source: Rfam by way of RNAcentral